AGUCGAGAAUCUUCGGCAAUGGGCGAAAGCCUGACCGAGCGACGCCGCGUGCGGGAUGAAGGCCCUCGGGUUGUAAACCGCUGUCGUAGGGGAGGAAGGCUCCGUGAAGAACGGGGUUUGACCUAUCCUAGGAGGAAGUACGGGCUAAGUUCGUGCCAGCAGCCGCGGUAAUACGAACCGUACAAACGUUAUUCGGAAUCACUGGGCUUAAAGGGUGCGUAGGCGGCCAUGUAAGUGAGGUGUGAAAUCCCUCGGCUCAACCGAGGAACUGCGCUUCAUACUGCAUGGCUUGAGGGAGACAGGGGUAAGCGGAACUGAUGGUGGAGCGGUGAAAUGCGUUGAUAUCAUCAGGAACACCGGUGGCGAAAGCGGCUUACUGGGUCUCUUCUGACGCUGAGGUACGAAAGCUAGGGUAGCGAA
This 420-nucleotide ribosomal RNA is filed under the name uncultured Planctomycetaceae bacterium. RNAcentral's name for it is "bacterial SSU rRNA". It matches the Rfam family "Bacterial small subunit ribosomal RNA", at positions 353 to 772 of the family's 1533-position model. Lineage: Bacteria; Pseudomonadati; Planctomycetota; Planctomycetia; Planctomycetales; Planctomycetaceae. The record is from RNAcentral.